Long non-coding RNA from Drosophila mojavensis, 448 nucleotides. RefSeq lists it as uncharacterized. Lineage: Eukaryota; Metazoa; Arthropoda; Insecta; Diptera; Drosophilidae. The transcript has 2 exons. The record is from RefSeq and is a predicted model, not a curated record.
ACGUCAUUCACUGCUUUUCGGCGUCAACAAUAUAUUUAAAUUUAUAUUUAAAAAGACCUAAGUCAAAGGCCUUUUGAAAUGAAUUUGAAAUAUUAUCUCUUUUUUUAACGGUUUCAUUAUCAGUUGACUUAGCACUACUGCUGUACAUAAACAAGGUGUAAAUGUUGAAAUAAAAGGAGCACACGUUACGGUCUCUUUGUCCGAUGAUCCAGAUGUCAAAUCAAUGUUUAUUUCAACUAAAAUGGGGAAUGAAUGUAAUCCGGAAUACUACUACUUCAAGAACAGUGAAACGUUAAGCAUUAUACUAAAAGGCAAUCAGUACUCAAACGAAAUUGAUACGUUGCGGAUGCUUAGAAUAAUUGAAACAGAAGACGCAGUCUUAGCAGCAAGUAAUAAUUUUAAAAUUGAUGCCAAUGGUCAUGGCCAAAACCACAUUAUAGAUUUCAAU